CUUUGGAAUGUAAACACUCCAGGAGAUAACAGCCCACAAUUGCCUAAGACUAAGCUUGGCUAACUCAAUCAGUAAAGCCUGGGGUUAAAGAAAAAUAAAGGGGAAAGUAUUCUGUUUUAAAAGGCAAGCUGUUGGAAAGGCUGUCUUUCCAAAAUGUAAUUCACAGCUUCUUUAUCUAGGGCAAAUAUAAAUCUUAAAAGUCUUCUCCACAAAAAUUAAUAAAAAAAACCACUUUUAUGCAGGUAAAUUUAUUCCAUCUGCUAGAAACACAGCUAUUUAUAAACUGGACACAAUUGGAAACAUUGGUUACAUUACCAAGGCUUUGACUGGAAUUUCAUAUUUGAGAGAGACAUGCAUAAACUUAGAUAUGACCGAACAGCUUUAAAGAACUAAGAUUGAUUCUAUGGAGCCGAUAAAACCCUUUGGAAAAGCAGCCUGGUGCCUUACUCACAGGGUUCCAAAUAACCUAACCAGGUAUGACACUUGAAAUGGAUGCUGCCAAGCAGUGUGAUUAGUGAGACGGAUCUGUCUUACCCCAGAGGGAUGCAGGUGCUGGGGAUCUAUGCUCACUUUUCUAGAAAACGAGAAGAAACAACUACUCCAUUUGGAAACCUCAAGACUGUUUUUGAAGUUUGUGGACACACUUUGAGAGUCCACUGCAUGUCCAGAUGGUAUUCUCGAUGCAAGGACUCAGCUGUGUAGACCACAUGGAUCUUGGAACUUCACUGGGAUUGCUGCAGAAGGAAAAUAGGACCAAAGGGCCCAGCGCUGGCAAUGGAAAGCUUCAGCUUAGAAUCGACGUUCAUCAUUUCUUUUCACAACCUAUGGGACAGAACUGGUCACAUGGUCUUGGCUAACUACAAAUGGAGCAGGAACUGGCUGUGGUCAGCGCCAGAAGUUUCUACCACAGGUUUCUGACACAUGAUUGUUUUGAGGAGAAAGGUAAAGGAUGAAGUUUGGCAUUUUUCUUUCCUUUCCUAAAGAGCAACUUACUACAGUAAAGGGCACAAAUCUUGAUUGUACAGUGUGAUGAAGUUUUGCAAGUGUACAUACUCAUGUCACCAGCACCUAGAUCAAGAAAUAGAACACUCACAGCUCCUCAGAGGGCAGCCUGUGGUCUGCUCCCAGGCAAUUGUCCCCAAAUCUGUACUCUGACCUCUAACUCUAUAGGCCAGUUUUGCUUGGUUUUGUAUUUUACAUAAUGGAAUCCAUAGCCACGUGCCCUUUUGUGUGGAUGAAAAUUCAACAUUAUGCCUGUGAGAUUCACCCACGUUGUUGCAAAGAUUAGUAGUCUGUCCUUUGUUGCUGUGCGAUAUACCAUUGCCUUCUUAAAACGCCACCGUGUAAUUGAUCUUUCCAUUAUUUCAAGACAUUUGUGUUGUUUUCUGGUUGGGGCUAAAAAAACAAAGUUGCUGUGGGUUUGCUUAACUGUGAAUCUGGGGGACACGAGCAUGCAUUUCUGUGGAUUAUACACCAGGGGCGGAGUUGUUGGUUCAAACGAUCAGUGUUUGCCCUUAUUAGAUGCCUCCUCGUGGCCUAUGAAGUGGUUGUGCCAGUUUUGCUCCUGUCACCAGUGAGUGAGUUCCACUUGCUUCACAUUCUUAGCAACAUUUGAUGUUAUUUUAGUCACUCUGG
Molecule: long non-coding RNA, 1635 nt
Organism: Equus caballus (horse)
Lineage: Eukaryota; Metazoa; Chordata; Mammalia; Perissodactyla; Equidae
Source: Ensembl